CGGACGUGACAGAAGAACAAAAGAAAUUUUCCGUCACGUCACAACCACUAACCAAAUCUUGCGUAAAUAUUGAAAAUAUGCACAAAAGCACAAUGUAGUUGAGUUGCAACAUCAGAGGAAUAGCAACAGAUACUCCCGCUCAGCACAAAUAUGAAGAGAAGUGAGCUGGCGCUGUGGUGGCUGCUGGGUCUGCUAAUACAGGUGCUGAGCGCGCUGGCCUGCAAGCGCAAGGCGUCUUGCCGACCGCCGCGCUGCCCGGGCGGCUGCAAGCCUAAGUACUGGUGACCUCUGUUCCUGCCGCACUGCACGCUGCUCCUGCCGCACUGCACGCUGCUCCUGCCGCACUGCACGCUGCUCCUGCUGCACUGCACGCUGCUCCUGCUGCACUACCCGCCGCCCGCGAGUGGGAACUGAUGGCGAUGGGGCUGUUCGUGGUGCUGGCGCGCCUGUGGUGGGCGGCGGCGUGGCUGGCGGCGGCGGCGCGCGCGUGCAAGCGGCGCGUCAUCUGCCGCCCCCCGCCCGGCGGCCGGCCCGGCUGCGGCGGCGGACGGUGACCACGCCACUACGAUGCAGUGGUACCAACUUCAAGAUUACCACAACUUCUAAAAGAAACCUGGAC
Maniola jurtina (meadow brown) is the source of this 619-nucleotide long non-coding RNA. RefSeq lists it as uncharacterized. The transcript has 4 exons. NCBI's taxonomy places the organism in Eukaryota, Metazoa, Arthropoda, Insecta, Lepidoptera, Nymphalidae. The record is from RefSeq and is a predicted model, not a curated record.